RNAcentral lists this ribosomal RNA (429 nucleotides) under uncultured bacterium. RNAcentral describes it as "bacterial SSU rRNA". It matches the Rfam family "Bacterial small subunit ribosomal RNA", at positions 270 to 690 of the family's 1533-position model. The record is from RNAcentral.
AAGGCUUUGACGGGUAGCCGGGCCUGAGAGGGUGACCGGUCACAUUGGGACUGAGAUACGGCCCAGACUCCUACGGGAGGCAGCAGUGGGGAAUAUUGCACAAUGGGCGCAAGCCUGAUGCAGCAACGCCGCGUGAGUGAUGAAGGGUUUCGGCUCGUAAAACUCUGUUGUUAAGGAAGAAUACUUGAGGUAGUAACUGGCCUUGAGAUGACGGUACUUAACCAGAAAGCCACGGCUAACUACGUGCCAGCAGCCGCGGUAAUACGUAGGUGGCAAGCGUUAUCCGGAAUUAUUGGGCGUAAAGCGCGCGUAGGCGGUAAAAUAAGUCUGAUGUGAAAGCCCCCGGCUCAACCGGGGAGGGUCAUUGGAAACUGUUUUACUUGAGUACAGAAGAGGAGAGUGGAAUUCCAUGUGUAGCGGUGAAAUGCG